Molecule: ribosomal RNA, 823 nt
Filed under: Sorites orbiculus
Lineage: Eukaryota; Foraminifera; Miliolida; Soritidae
Description: partial 18S ribosomal RNA
Source: RNAcentral
UGCCUUGUUCGACUUCUCUUUCCUUUAAAUCCAUUAUGUAUAUAAGUUUUUUAUAUUUUAAUUAUAAUAAAUCCCUUAGAUUUAUAAUAUAAUUCAUCGGUAAGAGCGACGGGCGGUGUGUACAAAGGGCAGGGACGUAUUCCUCUUGGUAUGUUAAACCAAAGAAGAGUACAAGGCAUUCCUAGUUAAGGCCAAGUGUAAUAAUUAACAAUACACUAUCCCCACCUUAAAUUAAUUAUAUUUAUAUUAAUUAAUCACGAUUUUUAAAUGAUUACCGAUUUACUUUCGAAAUAGGUUGUAAUAUAAUAUUAUAUAUUAUAAAGUAUAUAUACUUAUUAAUGUAAUUAUUGUAGCACGUGUGCAGCCCAGAACAUCUGAGGGCAUCACAGACCUGUUAUUGCCAUAAUCUUACUCUAUUUUAACACAUAUUUAGUAAUGACAGCGGUUCCUUUAAUUUUAUGCUAUAAUUAUAAUUUUCAAUAGCAAUAAAAGGUUACGGUCACGUUCGUUGCAUUCAUUUAUUAUAUAAUAAUAUAUAUAAUAUGUUCACUUUAAAUCCAUAAAUAAAUGGCAGAACUAAAUAUUAUAAUAUAUUAUAUAUUUUAUUUACUGAAACGCAAUUAAGCAGACAAAUCACUCCACGAACUAAGAACGGCCAUGCACCACCUAUCAUAUAAUCAUGAAAGGACUAUCAUUUUUAUGCAUAUAAAAAUAUAUUUUAUAUACUAUCGCCUGUCAAUCCUCAAUAUGUCUGGACCUGGUAAGAUUUCCCGGGUUGAGUCAAAUUAAGCCACAUGCUCCACGCGUUCUUGUGGUGCCCAUC